This 495-nucleotide ribosomal RNA is filed under the name uncultured bacterium. RNAcentral describes it as "partial 16S ribosomal RNA". It matches the Rfam family "Bacterial small subunit ribosomal RNA", at positions 28 to 523 of the family's 1533-position model. The record is from RNAcentral.
GAUGAACGCUGGCGGCGUGCCUAACACAUGCAAGUGGAGCGACGAACCCGGACUUGUCCGGGGGCAAAGCCGCGAACGGGUGAGUAACACGUGGAUUAUCUGCCCCAAUGACCGGGACAACUCGAGGAAACUCGAGCUAAUACCGGAUGUGCUCUUCGGAGGAAAGGAAGCUUCGGCCUCCGCAUUGGGAUGAGUCCGCGGUGCAUUAGCUAGUUGGUGGGGUAAAAGCCUACCAAGGCGACGAUGCAUAGCUGGUCUGAGAGGACGAUCAGCCACACUGGAACUGAGACACGGUCCAGACUCCUACGGGAGGCAGCAGCGGGGAAUCUUGCGCAAUGCACGAAAGUGCGACGCAGCAACGCCGCGUGCGGGAAGAAGGUCUUCGGAUCGUAAACCGCUUUCAGUUGGGACGAGGGUUACACGGUGAAUAGCCGGCGUAACUGACGGUACCUUCAGAAGAAGCCCCGGCUAACUACGUGCCAGCCGCCGCGGUAA